UGAGGAAUAUUGGUCAAUGGGCGAGAGCCUGAACCAGCCAAGUCGCGUGAAGGAAGACGGCCCUACGGGUUGUAAACUUCUUUUGCAAUGGAAUAAAAAGAGUUACGUGUAAUUCAUUGUAUGUACAUUGCGAAUAAGGAUCGGCUAACUCCGUGCCAGCAGCCGCGGUAAUACGGAGGAUCCGAGCGUUAUCCGGAUUUAUUGGGUUUAAAGGGUGCGUAGGCGGAUUGGAAAGUCAGCGGUGAAAGUUUGCAGCUUAACUGUAAAAUUGCCAUUGAAACUGUCAGUCUUGAGUGCAAAUGAGGUAGGCGGAAUGUGUUGUGUAGCGGUGAAAUGCAUAGAUAUAACACAGAACACCAAUUGCGAAGGCAGCUUACUGGGAUGCAACUGACGCUGAGGCACGAAAGCGUGGGGAUCAAACAG
Molecule: ribosomal RNA, 423 nt
Filed under: uncultured bacterium
Lineage: Bacteria
Description: bacterial SSU rRNA
Rfam family: Bacterial small subunit ribosomal RNA
Source: RNAcentral